GGAUGAAUAUUGGGCAAUGCCCGGAAGGGUGACCCAGCAACGCCGCGUGGAGGAUGAAUGCCGUAAGGUUGUAAACUCCUGUUAGAGGGGAAGAACAAUUUCGAUCGAAUCGGAACUUGACUGUACCCUCAGAGAAAGCCCCGGCUAACUACGUGCCAGCAGCCGCGGUAAUACGUAGGGGCGUAGCGUUGUCCGGAUUUACUGGGUGUAAAGGGCGCGUAGGUGGGUUUGCAAGUCAGAGGUGAAAUCU
RNAcentral lists this ribosomal RNA (250 nucleotides) under uncultured bacterium. RNAcentral describes it as "partial 16S ribosomal RNA". It matches the Rfam family "Bacterial small subunit ribosomal RNA", at positions 355 to 602 of the family's 1533-position model. The record is from RNAcentral.